This 397-nucleotide ribosomal RNA is filed under the name uncultured bacterium. RNAcentral describes it as "partial 16S ribosomal RNA". It matches the Rfam family "Bacterial small subunit ribosomal RNA", at positions 523 to 918 of the family's 1533-position model. The record is from RNAcentral.
AUACGUAGGUGACAAGCGUUAUCCGGAUUUACUGGGCGUAAAGGGCGGGUAGGCGGCCUUGCAAGUCAGAAGUGAAAUUCCUGAGUUCAACUCGGGCGCUGCUUCUGAAACUGCAGGACUUGAGUGCUGGAGGGGAUAGCGGAAUUCCUAGUGGAGCGGUAAAAUGCGCAGAUAUUAGGAAGAACACCGGUGGCGAAGGCGGCUAUCUGGACAGUAACUGACGCUGAGGCGCGAAAGCGUGGGGAGCAAACAGGAUUAGAUACCCUGGUAGUCCACGCCAUAAACGAUGAAUACUAGGUGUAGGGGGUAUCGACCCCCUCUGUGCCGACGUUAACACAUUAAGUAUUCCACCUGGGGAGUACGGCCGCAAGGCUGAAACUCAAAGGAAUUGACGGGG